GCUGACACUUGAGUACCAUCCCAACAUGUCUUGUCCUGGUGUGCCAGAGUUCUGGGAGAGGAUCUGCUGGUCUUGAUUCACUGGGGGGACCUGCAGUGCACCCAUUAGUGCCCAGAUCAGAGACAUGC
Molecule: small nucleolar RNA, 128 nt
Organism: Ochotona princeps (American pika)
Lineage: Eukaryota; Metazoa; Chordata; Mammalia; Lagomorpha; Ochotonidae
Source: Ensembl